Molecule: ribosomal RNA, 508 nt
Filed under: uncultured bacterium
Lineage: Bacteria
Description: partial 16S ribosomal RNA
Rfam family: Bacterial small subunit ribosomal RNA
Source: RNAcentral
GACGAACGCUGGCGGCGUGCCUAAUACAUGCAAGUCGAACGCUUCUUUCCUCCCGAGUGCUUGCCCUCAAUUGGAAAGAGGAGUGGCGGACGGGUGAGUAACAAGUGGGUAACCUACCCAUCAGAGAGGGAUAACACUUGGAAAAAGGUGCUAAUACCGCCUAACAGUUUAUGCCGCAUGGCAUAAGAGUGAAAGGCGCUUUCGGGUGUCGCUGAUGGAUGGACCCGCGGUGCAUUAGCUAGUUGGUGAGGUAACGGCUCACCAAGGCCACGAUGCAUAGCGGGCCUGAGAGGGUGAUCGGCCACACUGGGACUGAGACACGGCCCAGACUCCUACGGGAGGCAGCAGUGGGGAAUAUUCGACAAUGGACGAAAGUCUGACCCAGCAACGCCGCGUGGGUGAAGAAGGUUUUCGGAUCGUAAAACCCUUUUGUUGGAAAAGAACAAGAACUUUAUUAACCGAAGGUGCCCUGACGGUAUCCAACGAGAAAGCCACGGCUAACUACGUG